AAAAGCAUUAAGUUUACAAAGUACUGCAUCUAGUCCUGUUGCUGAGAUUAACACUCAUGUUGAAGAGCAAUUGGAAGAUAAUCGUACUGGAAGUACUCUUUCAUCAAUUUCAAACAUUUCAUCAGGGUUAGAAGAUUUUAGUGAAGAACUGGCAGCACAAACCAGUAGUUUAUCUGGAUUAAGUUUAGGAACAGUAUUGCCAGUGGUCAAUGAUGCAUUUGCUUUACUAAAUCAAUCACCUAUU
Molecule: long non-coding RNA, 244 nt
Organism: Cotesia glomerata
Lineage: Eukaryota; Metazoa; Arthropoda; Insecta; Hymenoptera; Braconidae
Exons: 2
Source: RefSeq, a predicted model, not a curated record